CAUCAUCGAUGCGUGGAAGAGGAUACGCAUCCUUUCUAGUGACAUCAUUUAAUUUACGAUAGUCCACACAAAAUCUCAAACCGCCAUCUUUCUUUCUCACCGGAACAACAGGGGCGGCUCAAGGACUGCAUGAUGGCCAUAUAAUGCUGCUUUCCUGCAUCUGCUUCACAUGGUCCGCUACCUCCUGUUGCAGAUGGAGUGGUACCCGACGAGGAGCCAUUUUAAUGGGCUUUGCAUCAUCAGUAUCAAUUUGAUGAAGGGUUCUAUGGGUCCAUCCUAGAUCUGUAUCAUUCUUACUAAAAACAGAGAGAUAGUUACUUAAUAACUCUUGAAUUGAUUUUAACUGUGUUAGGUUCCAACUCCCUGUUAUGCAACCCCAAAUAUUCCAACAAUACUUCUGCUGUCCAUGGUUGCUCUGAGUCUUUAAAUGAUACUUGGGAAUCAACUGAAGCAUCUACUAUCUGAACAUCAGUACACAGGGUUCCAAUAGUCGUCCCUCUUCUCAAAGUAAGUUCAUCACUUGUUACGUUAAUGACUCUUAGGGGCAACACCCCCUUUUCUACCCUGCAUAACACACGGACCACCAAGACAUCAGUAACCAAUCUAUCCGAGGGUUCCAGCAUCCCUUCUAUGCACUCUAGCCCCACCCCUUCAACAUUACCAGGAAUUAUAACCUCAGUUCUAAGAGGGACAAUCACAUCCUGCUUUACUGAUACAGUCCUGGUCUUUUUAUCCACAUUACCCACAUGUAAAAGCAACCGCUUUCCCAUUAAGGUACAACAUUGUGAACUCAAAUCAAUCACUGCCCCAAAUUUCAUCAGGAAAUCAGUGCCCAAAAUUAUCUCCUGCAAGGGUAUAUCAGCUACUAAGAAAUCUGUGGCCAAAGCCAACAUCUCUAUCUGACAUACAGUUGACCACUUCCCCAAAAUUUCCAUCUGUCCACCAUCAGCUACACUGUAAGAAAUGAUUCUGUGGUCAUGUAGAUUUGAAUUAAUGUUUUUGGUUAAAAUAUAUUCAAUAUAAUUGUGUUUAUGAUUUUGAGGCAAAUAUUUAAUUAAAUUUCAAAUAAAAAUGGUUGGAAUAAAAUCUACCCAUUGUAGUUAAAUAAAACUUAAGCAUUAUAUUUACCUAAUCCCAAAUGGAGAGAAUAAUGAGUGAAUUCAAAUUAAUGUAAUCAGGCAGUUUUUAAUUGAAAAGCACUUCCUGUCAAAGUGCGCCUUUUUUAUGCAGCUGGCCAUGAAGAGAGUAACGUUCGGCUACAGACAGUGAGUGAAUGUUCGUUUUCUUCUACAUUGCUCAUCUUGCAAAAUUUAACUGGUUGACUUUAGAAAAUUUAUUUUGUUAUCACUGGGCUAGUAAGAAGAACGCAUGUAGUGGUAUAUUACAAUAUAAAAUGAGUUACCACAGAAAAACAGACUCAGCAGCAACACAAAGUUGGCUUCUGUUGGAAGGCUAUAUAGUGUGAUGUUGUUGCGCUAUAAUAACACAGCAUUAUACAUUUUGGAAGAAAUCUUAUGUAUUGAAGUCACUUUUAUUUUGAAGGAUGUGUGUUAGCAUUUUCACUAUUAUGGUUCCUAGGUCUUUUGCGUGUUAAUAUAAUAUCCUCAGUAUGUUUUUAUGAAAUUGCGUAAAUAAAUACAUUGGGUUUAAUUUCAAGGUUCCAUAAAGAGCAAUAUUUGGGGUUAUCGCUGGAAGAGCAUCUUCAGACGGCACUUGACGCAGUUCGGUUGGCUUUACUUCUCGUGUGUGGAACUCAUCUUCCCGAGGCAGGUGCCGCCAAAUGAGAUGGCAGUGUAAAGUCUGUGGAUUCAGAGCGACAACAAGGGGUGAUCUUCUGCAGCAUUACAGACUUCAGCACAGGACGUUUGAGAUUGGAAAUUCGGUACCUUGUCUUGAUUAUUAUUGUCCAUGCUCCUUUAAAACAUUAAGUGCCCUCCGCACACAUUUGUCAAGAUAUCAUGCAAAGGAUGAAGCUAAGGGGCCAGGAGUAGUCCUCUCUUUCACAUGUGUUAUUUGCUCAGCUAAAUAUCCCACUGAAAAAGAAUAUUUCCAACACCUCGGGAAUGUACAUUUAAGACCAAUAUAUAUGGAACAUUUUUUGUGCACAAAAGCAGAAAGCACAACCCUCAUUCACUUGAAGACUUAAAGCCAAAUGUCAUUGGUGAACACCAAACUUUACCAAAUGAAACUGAUCCUUUACCCGCAGGUGAUAGUGAUUGUGAUGAUAGUGAUACCAAUCCUCCAGUGGAUAUAUCAGAAGCAAUUCACCAAAGAAUUGGCUCACUUCUCUUAAAGCUGGAAAGUGUACACAACGUUUCUGGAAAAUGUAUUGAUGAUUUGGUGGAGGAGCUUUAUUUUAUAUAUACCGCUUCUGCUCCAGUAAUCCGUCAGCUUGUCGAUACAAUUUUGAAAAAGUACAAGUGUGCUGUGGAGGAGGACCUUGUUAACGAAUUGUUGUUGGAAAUAUGCAAGUCACACCCUACAAGCAAGGCACUGGGAUAAGAUGGGCCCUUUGGUUCUGUGUAUAAGAGAAGACAGUAUUUCAAGAAACAGUUUGAAUUUGUCCAGCCAGUAGAGUACAUCCUUGAUUCACAGGAGAAUCUCAGCUUUCAAUAUGUGCCCCUUCUUCAGACCUUGGAGCAUAUAUUGACCAAUAAGGAUAUUGCACAUUU
Molecule: long non-coding RNA, 2672 nt
Organism: Megalobrama amblycephala (Wuchang bream)
Lineage: Eukaryota; Metazoa; Chordata; Actinopteri; Cypriniformes; Xenocyprididae
Exons: 2
Source: RefSeq, a predicted model, not a curated record